UCAGUGUGUAAUCCCCGAAAAAAUGAACAGACAGUAAAUAGAUAAUCACAGUCUUGGCUUAAUCCCUUUUCAAUAUCAGUAUCAGUUCAAUUUGGGCCUUAGCCCAUCUCAGUACAAAAACAGUCAUGCAGUAGGGCUUUAGCCCAUCACAAUAUCAGUAGAAAUAACAGAUAUGCAGUCACAAAAAUCCUACCCAUCCA
This 200-nucleotide long non-coding RNA is filed under the name Gossypium barbadense (sea-island cotton). RNAcentral's name for it is "long non-coding RNA (GBAR_LNC020213)". The record is from RNAcentral. Lineage: Eukaryota; Viridiplantae; Streptophyta; Magnoliopsida; Malvales; Malvaceae.